GCUGUCACGCCAUGAACAACACAUUCUGAGUACACCUCAUCAAGAUGCUUAACAGAGCCCGGCUGGAAUAACAACAUAAGUGACCCAGAGAUACUUCAUCCACUCCAUCAUGACCGCCAGGGACAGGAAAAAUAUGCUCAGGACUGCGGUGAUGUGGAGAAGAAAGUGGGGAAGAGCCCAGCUGGAAUAACAACAUAAGUGACCCAGAGAUACUUCAUCCGCUCCAUCAUGACGGCCAGGGACAGGAAAAAUACGCUCUUGACUGCGGUGAUGUGGAGAAGAAUGUGGGGGAGGUUGUUUUUUUUAAGCCUAGCGAGGAAUAACAACAUAAGUGACCCAGAGGGAAAGAAAAGAAGUAGGGUCUACCACUGUUGUGCUCUUCUUACUACCCACUAGGCCAUGUAAGGACAGCCACAUUCAUUGUUGCCCGAUAUCACAGGAAGAAAUCCUAACAUUCACACAUACAUUGUGUUUACUAUAUUCGGACCUGUACAUCUUCAGAGAAAUAUUCUCCUCUGCGGAUGUGAUGUAUUGGUCAUUGUCAGACAUUGACCGAAGAGCUGUUA
Molecule: long non-coding RNA, 566 nt
Organism: Aplysia californica (California sea hare)
Lineage: Eukaryota; Metazoa; Mollusca; Gastropoda; Aplysiida; Aplysiidae
Exons: 3
Source: RefSeq, a predicted model, not a curated record